GAUGAAGAACGUAGCGAAAUGCGAUACUUGGUGUGAAUUGCAGAAUCCCGUGAACCAUCGAGUCUUUGAACGCAAGUUGCGCCUCAAGCCAUUAGGUUGAGGGCACGUCUGCCUGGGCGUCACAUAUCGUUGCCUGAUGCCAGUUUCCUCGUGAUGGGUGACUGUGCAGGGCGAAUGAUGGCUUCCCGUGAGCAUUGUUGCCUCAUGGUUGGUUGAAAAUUGAGUCCUUGGUAGGGAGCGCCGUGAUAGAUGGUGGUUGAGUGACGAACGAGACCCAAUCAUGUGAGACCCCUACCGAAUAUGGCCUUCAUGACCCACAUGCGUCUUUGGAACGCUCAUGACGAGACCUCAGGUCAGGCGGGGCUACCCGCUGAGUUUAAGCAUAUCAAUAAGCGGAGGA
This 400-nucleotide unclassified non-coding RNA is filed under the name soil metagenome. RNAcentral describes it as "partial contains 5.8S ribosomal RNA, internal transcribed spacer 2, and large subunit ribosomal RNA". The stretch from base 1 to 122 matches the Rfam family "5.8S ribosomal RNA", at positions 35 to 154 of the family's 154-position model. The record is from RNAcentral.